GAUGAACGCUGGCGGCGUGCCUAAUACAUGCAAGUCGAGCGAACAGACGAGGAGCUUGCUCCUCUGACGUUAGCGGCGGACGGGUGAGUAACACGUGGAUAACCUACCUAUAAGACUGGGAUAACUUCGGGAAACCGGAGCUAAUACCGGAUAAUAUAUUGAACCGCAUGGUUCAAUAGCGAAAGACGGUUUUGCUGUCACUUAUAGAUGGAUCCGCGCCGCAUUAGCUAGUUGGUAAGGUAACGGCUUACCAAGGCAACGAUGCGUAGCCGACCUGAGAGGGUGAUCGGCCACACUGGAACUGAGACACGGUCCAGACUCCUACGGGAGGCAGCAGUAGGGAAUCUUCCGCAAUGGGCGAAAGCUUGACGGAGCAACGCCGCGUGAGUGAUGAAGGUCUUCGGAUCGUAAAACGCUGUUAUUAGGGAAGAACAAAUGUGUAAGUAACUAUGCACGUCUUGACGGUACCGAAUCAGAAAGCCACGGCUAACUACGU
This 496-nucleotide ribosomal RNA is filed under the name uncultured bacterium. RNAcentral describes it as "partial 16S ribosomal RNA". It matches the Rfam family "Bacterial small subunit ribosomal RNA", at positions 28 to 506 of the family's 1533-position model. The record is from RNAcentral.